CUGAGUGUGGCAUAAUGGUUUGAGUGUUGGACUAUGACUCUGAAGGCCAGGGUUUGAUUUCCCACUCAGC
Molecule: non-coding RNA, 70 nt
Organism: Phrynosoma platyrhinos (Desert horned lizard)
Lineage: Eukaryota; Metazoa; Chordata; Lepidosauria; Squamata; Phrynosomatidae
Source: the annotation of a GenBank genome assembly